AUUGAACGCUGGCGGCAGGCUUAACACAUGCAAGUCGAGCGGGGGAAGGUAGCUUGCUACCGGACCUAGCGGCGGACGGGUGAGUAAUGCUUAGGAAUCUGCCUAUUAGUGGGGGACAACAUCUCGAAAGGGAUGCUAAUACCGCAUACGUCCUACGGGAGAAAGCAGGGGAUCUUCGGACCUUGCGCUAAUAGAUGAGCAUAAGUCGGAUUAGCUAGUUGGUGGGGUAAAGGCCUACCAAGGCGACGAUCUGUAGCGGGUCUGAGAGGAUGAUCCGCCACACUGGGACUGAGACACGGCCCAGCCUCCUACGGGAGGCAGCAGUGGGGAAUAUUGGACAAUGGGGGGAGCCCUGAUCCAGCCAUGCCGCGUGUGUGAAGAAGGCCUUAUGGUUGUAAAGCACUUUAAGCGAGGAGGAGGCUACUUUAGUUAAUACCUAGAGAUAGUGGACGUUACUCGCAGAAUAAGCACCGGCUAACUCUGUGCCAGCCGCCGCCGUAA
RNAcentral lists this ribosomal RNA (501 nucleotides) under uncultured bacterium. Its description in RNAcentral is "partial 16S ribosomal RNA". It matches the Rfam family "Bacterial small subunit ribosomal RNA", at positions 30 to 523 of the family's 1533-position model. The record is from RNAcentral.